CCAUCAGCUUGUUGGUGGGGUAACGGCCCACCGUUGCGACGACGGGUAGGUGGUCUGAGAGGAUGGUCACCCACACUGGGACUGAGACACUGCCCAGACUCCUACGGGAGGCUGCAGUCGAGAGUGGGCCGCCAUGGGCGAAAGCCUGACGGUGCAGUGCCGCGUGGGGGAUGAAGGCCUUCGGGUCGUAAACCCCUGUCAGAAGGGACGAAGCAAGUGACGGUACCUUCAGAGGAAGCCACGGCUAACUACGUGCCAGCAGCCGCAGUAACACGUAGGUGGCGAGCGUGAUUCGGAUUUACUGGGCGUAGAGGGUCCGCAGGGGGUUUGCCAAGUCCGGUGUGAAAGUCCAGGGCUCAACCCUGGAACUGCGCCGGAUACUGGUGAACUGGAGUGCGCGAAGGGCAGGCGGAAUUCCUGGUGUAGCGGUGGAAUGCGUGGAUAUCAGGAAGAACACCGACGGCGAAAGCAGCCUGCUGGCGCGCCACUGACCCUCAUGGACGAAAGCGUGGGUAGCGAGCAGGAUUAGAUACCCUGGUAGUCCACGCCGUAAACGGUGCAGACCCGAUGCGGGGGGCAGCCCCCUCCGUGUCCAAGCCAACGCGUUAAGUCUCCCGCCUGGGGACUACGGUCGCUAGGCUGACACUCCAAGGAAUUGACGGGGGCCCGCACAAGCGGUGGAGCAUGUGGCUUAAUUCGAGUCCAUGCGAAGAACCUUACCCGGACUUGACAUCGAGCGACCGGCGUGGAUACACGCCUUUCCGUUCGGGGACGCGAAGACAGCUGCUGCAUGCCCGUCGUCAGCUCGUGCCGUGAGGUGAUCGGUUAAGUCCGGCCACGAGCGCAACACGUAUUCUCAGUUGCCAUCAGGUAAAGCUGGGCACUCUGGCGAGACUGCCCGUCUCAAGCGGGAGGAAGGCGCGGAUGACGUCAAGUCCGUAUGGCCCGUACGUCCGGGGCAGCACACGUGCUACAAUGGGCGGCACAGCGGGACGCGACACCGCGAGUCACGAGCGAAUCCUCAAAGCCGCCCCCAGUUCGGAUCGGAGUCUGCAA
This 1056-nucleotide ribosomal RNA is filed under the name uncultured organism. RNAcentral describes it as "bacterial SSU rRNA". It matches the Rfam family "Bacterial small subunit ribosomal RNA", at positions 238 to 1310 of the family's 1533-position model. The record is from RNAcentral.